Archocentrus centrarchus (flier cichlid) is the source of this 363-nucleotide non-coding RNA. Lineage: Eukaryota; Metazoa; Chordata; Actinopteri; Cichliformes; Cichlidae. The record is from the annotation of a RefSeq genome assembly.
AUGUUCUCAGUAGCUCUGAUGCUGCUGCUGCUGGCUGCUGCAUCUUGUGUGUACAGCAUUGAUCUCAUCCAGCCAGACUCAGUGGUUGUUCAGCCUGGACAGUCUUUGACCAUCACCUGUCGUGUCUCUGGUUAUUCUUUGACUGAUAGCAACUAUGCAACAAGCUGGAUGCGACAGCGUGGAGGGAAACAAAUGGACUGGAUUCUCACCAUGUGGGCUGGUGGGAGUGCUGCAAAAAAUGAUGCUUUAAAGAACAAGUUCAGCAUCAGCAGAGACACUUCAGCUGGAACUGUGACAAUAACAGGACAGAAUCUGCAGCCCGAGGACACAGCUGUUUAUUACUGUGCACGUAAUGCACAGUGA